This 294-nucleotide ribosomal RNA is filed under the name Triticum aestivum (bread wheat). RNAcentral describes it as "partial small subunit ribosomal RNA". Lineage: Eukaryota; Viridiplantae; Streptophyta; Magnoliopsida; Poales; Poaceae. The record is from RNAcentral.
AUGCGGCAGCUUCGGCUCAUCACCAACAUGAGGGCUCAUAAUGACACGUGGUUUGCAGAUUACUUGCUCAGGGUCGGUAAUGGUACAGAGGAAGCCGACGAUCAAGGCAACAUACUACUCCCUGGUGAUAUUUGUUUGCCAUCUACAGGCGAGGUUGACGACCUCGAGAAGCUGAUCGACCACGUGUUUCCGAGUCUAGAUGACAACAUGGCAGAUUCGAGUUACAUGACAUCUCGCACAAUCCUUUCCACGACAAAUGACAACGUCGACAAGAUAAACAUCCGCAUUAUAGAG